GAUGAACGCUAGCUACAGGCUUAACACAUGCAAGUCGAGGGGUAGCAGGGUAGCAAUACCGCUGACGACCGGCGCACGGGUGAGUAACACGUAUCCAACCUUCCCAUAACUCGGGGAUAGCCUUUCGAAAGAAAGAUUAAUACCCGAUAGUACUUUUUCAAGGCAUCUUGAGAAAGUUAAAGAUUUAUUGGUUAUGGAUGGGGAUGCGUUCCAUUAGAUAGUUGGUGAGUUAACGGCUCACCAAGUCUUCGAUGGAUAGUGGUUCUGAGAGGAAGGUCCACGACAUUGGUACUGGGACACGGACCAAAGUCGUACGGGAGGAAGCAGUGAGGAAGAUUGGUGAAGGGGUGAGAGACUGAACCAGCCAAGUAGCGUGAAGGAUGAAGGUCUUAUGGAUUGUAAACUUCUUUUAUAGUAGAAUAAAGUGAUCCACGUGUGGAUUUUUGUAUGUAUACUAUGAAUAAGGAUCGGCUAACUCCGUGCCAGCAGCCGCCGUAA
RNAcentral lists this ribosomal RNA (498 nucleotides) under uncultured bacterium. Its description in RNAcentral is "partial 16S ribosomal RNA". It matches the Rfam family "Bacterial small subunit ribosomal RNA", at positions 28 to 523 of the family's 1533-position model. The record is from RNAcentral.